GUUGUUCCUCCUAAGCUCAUUACACCUGCGCAUGGCAUUACAACUACUCUCGAACCCCUAACAGUUGGUAACUUCCUUCCACAGAAGUACCAGUCGAAGGAAAAUUCACAUGCAGAGAUUGAAGAAGCAGUUAAGGCUCGAUCGAAGGGAAAUGAUGAGAAGAUUGAAUCAACUGCGAGGAGAUUACAAUUUUCUGAAGUAAUUGAACCAGCAAAAUCAUUACCAAUAGCUGUUGAAGUUGUUGAACCAGCAAAAUCAGUACCAACAGCUGCGGAAGUUGUCAGAGGUAAUAGAGAUGUGCAGAUGGGUAAGACUCUCUCCUUUGUUCCCCCUACUAUGCGAGAUGGAAAAAAAAUUGUUAAGAUCAGUGAAGAGGAUUUGAAACCACA
RNAcentral lists this long non-coding RNA (389 nucleotides) under Nicotiana benthamiana. Its description in RNAcentral is "long non-coding RNA (NBEN_LNC009218)". The record is from RNAcentral. Lineage: Eukaryota; Viridiplantae; Streptophyta; Magnoliopsida; Solanales; Solanaceae.